Molecule: long non-coding RNA, 240 nt
Organism: Sabethes cyaneus
Lineage: Eukaryota; Metazoa; Arthropoda; Insecta; Diptera; Culicidae
Exons: 3
Source: RefSeq, a predicted model, not a curated record
AAAUAACACUGCUGCAAAACCUCUCAUUAACAGCAAUCAGCACUCCACCACCACUAGACUUAUCAGAAUUGGUUGAAGAUCUAUCGCAACGAAUGCGUAAACAUCAAAAUCACGUUCCAGUGCAGACAUAAAAACAGUUUCCAGCCGGGCACUACUUCGGAUGCUAUUCACAUUUUGCUGGAUCAUGCACGCAAGAAUUAAACCUUUCUGGACUAGCAACACUACGUGACGAGGGUAAAG